RNAcentral lists this unclassified non-coding RNA (269 nucleotides) under uncultured fungus. RNAcentral describes it as "sequence contains ITS1". Lineage: Eukaryota; Fungi. The record is from RNAcentral.
GUUUUUUAUAAACUUUUUAUUUAUUUCAACAUUCUAGACAUUUGGUUGUGAAAAAAUGACAUAGACCUUUCAAAGGGAAAGCCGACCUCUUUUUUUGAAGCACAGCAGUCCCCACUCGGAACGAAUUCCAUCCCCUCCCAAGGUCUACAAAAUACGUGCACAGUUGGAGAAAUGAUAAAGAUGACAAGCGUGCACAUGUCCCGAGAGACCAGCAACAGCCUGUUCAAGUUUAUUCGAUAAUGAUCCUUCCGCAGGUUCACCUACGGAAA